This 492-nucleotide ribosomal RNA is filed under the name uncultured bacterium. Its description in RNAcentral is "partial 16S ribosomal RNA". It matches the Rfam family "Bacterial small subunit ribosomal RNA", at positions 29 to 507 of the family's 1533-position model. The record is from RNAcentral.
AGUGAACGCUGGCGGUAGGCCUAACACAUGCAAGUCGAACGGCAGCACAGUAAGAGCUUGCUCUUACGGGUGGCGAGUGGCGGAUGGGUGAGGAAUACAUCGGAAUCUACUUUUUCGUGGGGGAUAACGUAGGGAAACUUACGCUAAUACCGCAUACGACCUACGGGUGAAAGCAGGGGAUCUUCAGACCUUGCGCGAUUGAAUGAGCCGAUGUCGGAUUAGCUAGUUGGCGGGGUAAAGGCCCACCAAGGCGACGAUCCGUAGCUGGUCUGAGAGGAUGAUCAGCCACACUGGAACUGAGACACGGUCCAGACUCCUACGGGAGGCAGCAGUGGGGAAUAUUGGACAAUGGGCGCAAGCCUGAUCCAGCCAUACCGCGUGGGUGAAGAAGGCCUUCGGGUUGUAAAGCCCUUUUGUUGGGAAAGAAAAGCAGCAGGUUAAUACCCCGCUGUUCUGACGGUACCCAAAGAAUAAGCACCGGCUAACUUCGUG